Molecule: ribosomal RNA, 483 nt
Filed under: uncultured bacterium
Lineage: Bacteria
Description: bacterial SSU rRNA
Rfam family: Bacterial small subunit ribosomal RNA
Source: RNAcentral
AGGAACGAACGCUGGCGGCGUGCUUAAUACAUGCAAGUCAACUUGACUUUAGAUAGCAAUAUCGAAAAGUAGGGUGGCGCACGGGUGCGUAACGCGUAGGUAAUCUGCCCUGAGGUCUGACAUAACCCGUCGAAAGGCGGGCUAACAUCAGAUGAUAUAUAAUCACGACAUCGUGGAAAUAUCAAAUCUUCGGAGCCUUGGGAUGAGCCUGCGUCUGAUUAGGUAGUUGGCGGAGUAAUAGCCCACCAAGCCUACGAUCAGUAGCUGGUCUGAGAGGAUGAUCAGCCACACUGGAACUGAGACACGGUCCAGACUCCUACGGGAGGCAGCAGUAAGGAAUAUUGCUCAAUGGGGGGAAACCCUGAAGCAGCAACGCCGCGUGAAGGAUGAAAUACUUUGUAUGUAAACUUCUGUAAGAUGGGAAAAAUAUUCUCCUCGGGAGAAUUGAUUGUACCAUCAGAGUAAGCCCCGGCUAACUACGUG